GGAGAAAUACCCAAGCGGCUGAAGGGGGCAGUUUCGAAAACUGCUAGAGGAUGCAAGUCCUGCAAGGGUUCAAAUCCCUUUUUCUCCGCCA
Molecule: transfer RNA, 91 nt
Filed under: Erysipelotrichaceae bacterium
Lineage: Bacteria; Bacillati; Bacillota; Erysipelotrichia; Erysipelotrichales; Erysipelotrichaceae
Description: tRNA-Ser
Rfam family: tRNA
About the family: Transfer RNA (tRNA) molecules are approximately 80 nucleotides in length. Their secondary structure includes four short double-helical elements and three loops (D, anti-codon, and T loops). Further hydrogen bonds mediate the characteristic L-shaped molecular structure. tRNAs have two regions of fundamental functional importance: the anti-codon, which is responsible for specific mRNA codon recognition, and the 3' end, to which the tRNAs corresponding amino acid is attached (by aminoacyl-tRNA synthetases). tRNAs cope with the degeneracy of the genetic code in two manners: having more than one tRNA (with a specific anti-codon) for a particular amino acid; and 'wobble' base-pairing, i.e. permitting non-standard base-pairing at the 3rd anti-codon position.
Source: RNAcentral